GGAGGAGUCGGAUAGCGGUUCAUUCCACACGCUUGGAGAGCGUGCGAGCGCAAGCUCUCGUGAGUUCGAAUCUCACCUCCUCCGCCA
RNAcentral lists this transfer RNA (87 nucleotides) under Candidatus Beckwithbacteria bacterium. RNAcentral's name for it is "tRNA-Ser". It matches the Rfam family "tRNA". From Rfam's summary of the family: Transfer RNA (tRNA) molecules are approximately 80 nucleotides in length. Their secondary structure includes four short double-helical elements and three loops (D, anti-codon, and T loops). Further hydrogen bonds mediate the characteristic L-shaped molecular structure. tRNAs have two regions of fundamental functional importance: the anti-codon, which is responsible for specific mRNA codon recognition, and the 3' end, to which the tRNAs corresponding amino acid is attached (by aminoacyl-tRNA synthetases). tRNAs cope with the degeneracy of the genetic code in two manners: having more than one tRNA (with a specific anti-codon) for a particular amino acid; and 'wobble' base-pairing, i.e. permitting non-standard base-pairing at the 3rd anti-codon position. Lineage: Bacteria; Candidatus Beckwithiibacteriota. The record is from RNAcentral.